Molecule: long non-coding RNA, 1652 nt
Organism: Phragmites australis (common reed)
Lineage: Eukaryota; Viridiplantae; Streptophyta; Magnoliopsida; Poales; Poaceae
Exons: 3
Source: RefSeq, a predicted model, not a curated record
UAGUCCCUCCUCCCUCGGUCCACUGGACAUUGGAGACACAUCUCCAUCCCAUCCGGAUUCAUUUCCUCUAUGAGUCAUCCUAGAUUAGAUCAGCUUGGAUGGAUUCCCUUCAUUCCAAAGGUUGAUUCUGCCCUCAAAUCAGAUCCAAUUCUUUUGUUUUGUCCAAUCAGUUAGCUGUGAAUUUGGUUCAAUCUGCCCUCAAAUCCAUCCAUCUAUUGUUGGAUUUGGUUCUUCACAGUAGGAUCGAGCCGAAGGUGCACAAACGCAGGGGUGAGGGCUUAGGUUGCAGGCACAUUAGGGCACCAACCAAACACCACUCCGGUAAAUCUCAGGCUAAUUUAACUGUUAUUCCACAACUUUUCAAGUACUAUCAUUCUUGCAGGCUAAUUCAACUGUCGUUCCAAAACUUUUCAAAUAUUAUUGUCAUUGCAAGUACAUAACAACAUUUCCUGUCUUUUGCACAGUACUUCUUUUAUUGUACUAUUUACUAUUGUACUAUAGGAAUGAAGUAAAUAUUGACAGCAUAAGCUUUAAGUGAACGGCUAAGUUCCAUACGAGGUUGAAAAGAAAAUAUUUUCCUUUACAUGCACAGCUGCAAAUUGUUGGUCCACACUUAUGAAUCAGCUUUUGAUCUAUAGUGUCGGAAACUCUGCAUGUCAAAAGCCAAUUUAUAAUUGUCGACUAAUAAUUUGCAGUUGUACCCUUAAAGAAAAAAUAUUAUCUUUUGAGCCUGGUAUGAAACUUACCCAUUCGCUUAAAGCUAAGUCUUAUCCAACAACUUUAUCUGGUGUGUUCAAUCGAGGUACGCUGUUUUAAUUUAUUCAUAAAGGAAAAAUCUUCUCUCUUUAAUCUGCCAUCCAAUUUCUAUUACAGAGGAAUUAAGAUAUUAUUGCACAACUUACAUAAAUAUUUUCUUUUUUAUUGUAAAUAGGGAAAAAUUAGGCACUCAUUCUGCUGUAACAACGUAUACUAACCAAUUUAAUAUGGGGUGUGUUGUGUUUCCAUUUAUUCAUGAUUUACUACUACCUACAAUAUUAAAUCAGUUUAGACAAUGUUUAGUGUCCAAAGCUCGUUUGUGGAAUUGUUGAGUACUGUAAUUACAAAAUGUAAUAUAAAACAAUAAUUUACAGUCGUACGAUAAAGCUAAAUCUUUUCUUUUAAUAUACCAUGAAAUUUAGUUGUUUUUUAAAGCGAAUACUGUCAACAUUUGCUUUGCAACUUCAUUGGAAGAAGCUUUAGCAUAUUGCAACAAGGUUUUAUACCAACUCUCAACACCAUACAUUUCAUCACUCCUUAAUUUUUAUAAUAGUUAAUUCAAAUGAUCAUUUCAUCUUAUACUCACUUACUAUAUUGAACUCGGGAUGGUUUGCUAUAUAUCCCUUUAAACUUUAAACGAUUAAUCUAAGAUAGUGGGAGUACAUAGUAACAGUUAUAAUAUAUGUACAUGUUGAACUGUCUUUCUAUCGAGUUGUCUUUAAAAUAGGCAUGAGCACACAGGACGUGCAAGUGCAUCAUCCUCUCCCCAAUGUGAUCAUGAUUUCUUUUUCAAAGACAACUUGAUAAAAAGACAAUUUAACACAUACAUAUACUAUCACUGUUACAUAAUAUCAAGAUGUCGUGUGCAUGCGUUUCCAACUUUUCACAUGCCCUAC